Molecule: long non-coding RNA, 919 nt
Organism: Paramisgurnus dabryanus
Lineage: Eukaryota; Metazoa; Chordata; Actinopteri; Cypriniformes; Cobitidae
Source: RefSeq, a predicted model, not a curated record
CGUUCGAGGACUACAAAAAACACUCGGAUUGUAGGCAACAGUUUACUUCCUGGGAUUAGUGACGUAGAUAAGACCAACAUUAUCAUAGUUCAGCCCUCUCUGCUUUGCUUGGGUACGCCCUCAAAGACGAGGGUGGGGUGGGGAGCGCCGAGUCAGAAGAGAGCUAAAAUGGCGGAGGUUGGGAGUCCCUGCUUUGACUCUGUUUGCAAACUCUUGUUUCAUUGUUUAAGCGAUUACAUCUCUCGAGUAGACGCUGUCUCUUUAGAUGCGAGGGCAAAAUAGCACUUUAUGGACUUCCACAGAGGACAUCAUGUUUAAUACGGUUCCGGAAAAAUCCAGUCAGAAGUUGUUCACGGAGUUUUCACAAUAACUGCUUCUCAUGAACCGAAGCUGGAUUUGCGCGACGUCUCCUCUUGAAAGUUGGAUUACUGUGCACUUCUGGAUCACAGACUAUUCGCAGCUGUACACAUCCUUCUACACUGUAUGCAAACAUGCAACAUCAUAACACACAGUACAAGGAGUCAGACUGGCAUAUGAGGAGCAAAGGAACCCAGGCAGUAGCAUCGUUUCACAAUGUUUCCAUCACCAUCAUCAGUGGAUGCCUUUGCCGUCCGUAGCCUGAGAUUUCAGAUUUGCAGCAAAAAAAAUUGAUUUUCUCAUUUAUUGGAAUGCUGUGCAGGUAUUUGUACCUUGCAGCCAUCCAUUACAAUGUCACCAAGCCGUAACAAAAGCAGGAGAGGGAAAGUACAAGGCUAUGUUCCCAAAACACAAAUGACAUACCUUAUGUGGAGGAUGUGAUCAGGCUUGUGUUUGAUGAGGUAUUUGAAGAUAAGCUGAAGGAAACCCCGAUUCCAAUGGACCUGGCAUCACAGUUUGAGAGACCUUCAAAGGAGGACGUGAUUGCAUGCCAUCUUCAGUG